CUCAGGGUCAAGGUGGACCUGGUGUUUGAAUCCAGGAUCAGCAGUCAGUAGGAGUCUGAUUGUUGGCAUAUUCUACAGCUCUAUCUUCACAUUCCAUCAGAUAAUUAAGGAAACAUCAAAGGCCUCCCAUUUAUAUUGAAUGCUGAAGAGUAACAGGAUGGAUAAACUAAUGGGAAACUAUCUGCUGGAUACAGUAAUGGCCAACAUUUACUGGAUAUUUACCAUGUCUGGAAUUGGGAAUAAUGUUCAAUCUUUUAUGUCUGUCUCAUUCAUUUAUUCAAAUUCCAAGCUACCAGAUGUAAUCCUCACAAUACAAUUC
This is a long non-coding RNA of Acinonyx jubatus (cheetah), 319 nucleotides long. RefSeq lists it as uncharacterized. The transcript has 3 exons. Lineage: Eukaryota; Metazoa; Chordata; Mammalia; Carnivora; Felidae. The record is from RefSeq and is a predicted model, not a curated record.